RNAcentral lists this ribosomal RNA (450 nucleotides) under Burkholderia sp. oral taxon C87. RNAcentral describes it as "bacterial SSU rRNA". It matches the Rfam family "Bacterial small subunit ribosomal RNA", at positions 29 to 486 of the family's 1533-position model. Lineage: Bacteria; Pseudomonadati; Pseudomonadota; Betaproteobacteria; Burkholderiales; Burkholderiaceae. The record is from RNAcentral.
AUUGAACGCUGGCGGCAUGCCUUACACAUGCAAGUCGAACGGCAGCACGGGGGCAACCCUGGUGGCGAGUGGCGAACGGGUGAGUAAUACAUCGGAACGUGUCCUGUAGUGGGGGAUAGCCCGGCGAAAGCCGGAUUAAUACCGCAUACGCUCUACGGAGGAAAGGGGGGGAUCUUAGGACCUCCCGCUACAGGGGCGGCCGAUGGCAGAUUAGCUAGUUGGUGGGGUAAAGGCCUACCAAGGCGACGAUCUGUAGCUGGUCUGAGAGGACGACCAGCCACACUGGGACUGAGACACGGCCCAGACUCCUACGGGAGGCAGCAGUGGGGAAUUUUGGACAAUGGGCGAAAGCCUGAUCCAGCAAUGCCGCGUGUGUGAAGAAGGCCUUCGGGUUGUAAAGCACUUUUGUCCGGAAAGAAAACGCCGUGGUUAAUACCCGUGGCGGAUGAA